GAUGAACGCUGGCGGCGUGCCUAAUACAUGCAAGUCGAGCGAACGGACGAGAAGCUUGCUUCUCUGAUGUUAGCGGCGGACGGGUGAGUAACACGUGGAUAACCUACCUAUAAGGCUGGGAUAACUUCGGGAAACCGGAGCUAAUACCGGAUAAUAUUUUGAACCGCAUGGUUCAAAAGUGAAAGACGGUCUUGCUGUCACUUAUAGAUGGAUCCGCGCUGCAUUAGCUAGUUGGUAAGGUAACGGCUUACCAAGGCAACGAUGCAUAGCCGACCUGAGAGGGUGAUCGGCCACACUGGAACUGAGACACGGUCCAGACUCCUACGGGAGGCAGCAGUAGGGAAUCUUCCGCAAUGGGCGAAAGCCUGACGGAGCAACGCCGCGUGAGUGAUGAAGGUCUUCGGAUCGUAAAACUCUGUUAUUAGGGAAGAACAUAUGUGUAAGUAACUGUGCACAUCUUGACGGUACCUAAUCAGAAAGCCAUGGCUAACUACGUG
Molecule: ribosomal RNA, 497 nt
Filed under: uncultured bacterium
Lineage: Bacteria
Description: partial 16S ribosomal RNA
Rfam family: Bacterial small subunit ribosomal RNA
Source: RNAcentral